Acyrthosiphon pisum (pea aphid) is the source of this 1562-nucleotide non-coding RNA. The record is from Rfam. NCBI's taxonomy places the organism in Eukaryota, Metazoa, Arthropoda, Insecta, Hemiptera, Aphididae.
GUUGUAAACGGACAGAGCUCGCGAAUCCCCGCCGGGCGAAUUCACGGUCGGUCUAACCGCCGGCCGGAUCUUUCGCUCGGUUAGCGGACGUCGCGACCCGUUGGGCGCCGGCCGAAUGGCCCGGGUGACGUUCGUCGCGUCGGUCGCGUUUCGGCGUGACCGUUCGCGCCGAGCCCCGGUGCUCAUGGUCGGCUCGCCCGACGGCAAGAACCGUCGACGCGGCCCCGUCGCAGGCGGGGUCCCGUCGGUCGGCGACGUGUUUCGAGCUACUUUCCGACCCGUCUUGAAACACGGACCAAGGAGUCUAACGUGUGCGCGAGUCAACGGUGAUCUUACGAAAAACCACGUUUGGCGCAAUGAAAGUGAACCGUUUACGGUGCGGACGAUGGCCUAGCGACCGAACCCACCGGCGUUCAAAGUCGCGCUGGUCCGCAGUCCGGGGGCGUCUCCGCCAAGUCGGCUUCGGCCGGCUGGGGGCGCACCCUUAGCGCACACGUUGGUACUCGAAAGAUGGUGAACUAUGCCUGGCCAGGAUGAAGUCAGGGGAACCCUGAUGGAGGUCCGCAGCGAUUCUGACGUGCAAAUCGAUCGUCUGAGCUGGGUAUAGGGGCGAAAGACUAAUCGAACCAUCUAGUAGCUGGUUCCAUCCGAAGUUUCCCUCAGGAUAGCUGGCGCCGAUGUGUCCCGCCCGUUCGCGGGCGUACGGACGCCGGUGGGACUCCGCGCUGUACGGCGCGGUAACAACACGCUCGUAACACGGAGGAUGUCUCAUACGGUAAAGCGAAUGAUUAGAGGACAUUGGGGCCGAAACGACCUCAACCUAUUCUCAAACUAUAAAUGAGUGAGAUCGCCGGCUUUACCUGGUACACCGCGUGAACCGCGUGCGAAGCCGGCGACGGAACCCUAGGCGCUUAGUGGGCCAUUUUUGGUAAGCAGAACUGGCGCUGCGGGAUGAACCGAACGCCGAGUUAAGGCGCCGAAAUCGACGCGUAUUCAGAGACCAUGAAAGGCGUUGGUUGCUGAUGACAGCAGGACGGUGGCCAUGGAAGUCGGAAUCCGCUAAGGAGUGUGUAACAACUCACCUGCCGAAGCAACUAGCUCUGAAAAUGGAUGGCGCUGGAGCGUCGUGCCUAUACUCGGCCGUCGACGGCAUAGUGGGGCCAGUCGUCGCUCGCGGCGGCCGGUCCCGGCAAGCCUCGACGAGUAGGAUGGCGCGGCGGUGUGCGUCGAAGGGCAGGUCGCGAGACCGCCUGGAGCCGCCGUCGGUGCAGAUCUUGGUGGUAGUAGCAAAUACUCGAGAGGGGCCCUCGGGGGCUGCCGUGGAGAAGGGUUUCUUGUGAACAGCCGUUGUCCAAGAGUCAGUCGAUCCUAAGCCCGGGGAGAGAUCCUCGUACCACGGGCGAAAGCGUUUUCGAAUCGCCCUUGGGGGCGAGAGGGAAUCCGGUUCGUAUUCCGGAACCCGACGCGGAACCGCUCCCUAGUGUUCGGGGCUCUUUUGUCUCGUCUGGGUAACAGAAUGAACUCGAAGAAGCCGCCGGGGGAUCUGGGUAGAGUUCUCUUUU